AAUUGUCAAUGGUCAUUAUAAAGGAUUCCACCGAUAGCAAACAGAAGCUUGCAGCGGAAAAUGCCAUCAUCAACGUUAAGCACUCUCUCGAAGAUAAGAAGUAUAAAGUAGUUCAAACAACUAUUGCUCGGUAAAAACAUCCGUCUUUUAAGCGUCAGAUUUUGUUAAAAAAGGGAAUUUAGAUGAUGAAAAAUAAAAGGCAAUAGUCUAUAUACAUCUAACAAUUGACGGAAAAGAAAGAAAAUGAAUAAUGAAAUGGUAGUGCAAAAAAUAAUUUCUUAAAAGAACAUUCAGUUAUUUCAUGAACAAUUAAUCAUCGACCAUUGAGAAAUGACGAAAAGAAAUCCGUUCAAACAGCUACAUAAAGCGGUAUUAUCGUCGAAUUGUUGCUUGUGGAAAAUGAAACCAACAAAAAAGAAUGGGAGAAAUUGGAUUGAGCUUAAAUUACUUUGAAUUUCCUGUCUUAUUCUUCCGAGGUGGAGUCAUGUGCCAAUUUUGACUUGAACCUUGGUAUCCGUAGCGUUGUUUUUUUUCAGCCGGUUUCAAAAUCUGGAAACUGCACAACAAGCUCUCGUCAACACUCAUCAUCGCACCUGCAUUAUCAAACUCGCCACAGUAAUUAGGUGCACUGAACAAUGUGACUAGCUGACGUUUAGAGAAGAACUCAUAACCGUCUUCCACAACCUGAUGGGCUCGGCAAACAAGAUCCAUAUCGUGUUUGUGCAAAAACCGAGAGACAACAUCAGGUCCAAACGUGAAAGAAACACCUCUAUCAUUAUCACCCCAGCCUGUAAGAUCCUUGUCAGGAUCAGACCAAAGUAAAUCACAGAGUAACCCAGUAUCAGGGACAUCGGUCGGUCGCAUG
This is a non-coding RNA of Schizosaccharomyces pombe (fission yeast), 865 nucleotides long. The record is from the annotation of a GenBank genome assembly. NCBI's taxonomy places the organism in Eukaryota, Fungi, Ascomycota, Schizosaccharomycetes, Schizosaccharomycetales, Schizosaccharomycetaceae.